Patiria miniata (bat star) is the source of this 696-nucleotide long non-coding RNA. RefSeq lists it as uncharacterized. The transcript has 3 exons. The record is from RefSeq and is a predicted model, not a curated record. Lineage: Eukaryota; Metazoa; Echinodermata; Asteroidea; Valvatida; Asterinidae.
GACCAGACGCCAAUAAUUUUCACGUUGAACAAAAUAUGGUUUGCGGGUUUAACUUUUGCAAUCAGCACGAUCGUUGCACUCUUCGUUACCUUGGUCACAGGGGCAAACGAUACCUCAAAAAUGGACCCAAGACUUGUGGUCUGGAAAGUCAAGAGUGACUUCGUUCCUACAGAAACCCGGACGAGACAGCAUGUAUUGGACGACUAUAUUUCUCUGCCAGAAAUGGACGAUGGUGAAAAGGAAAGACUUGAAGAAACGUUGACCGCUUCCAAAUCCACAACUGAAGUGUGAAUGGACUACAAACACUGUGAAAAUACAGCUGUCGUGUUCAAAAUAUUACACAAGCGUUAUUAUAUCAAAAUGUACAUGCGACGUAAAUAUACAUAUAAACGUGGACAUGGGUUUAAAAAGAAUCGUAAAAAAUGAAGUUUAACAAACACAAACUCAAUAAACCUGUUUUACUAGUGCAGUCUUGUAUGUAGUUUUGAUAUAUAAAUUGAGCAUUUAAGGCGCCCAAGCAAUGCUUUUUAAUGCUAUCCUUGAAAAUGCACCUUUUUGUCCCAUUUAACCUCCUUUUCAAUUUUCUUCUUGCCUUUUUGAACAGUAUUUUAGCGCCUAUUUGUUUUUUAUGCUAAUGCAAAUUUCCAUAUUCAUGAGCGAGACUGUGAUGUCAUUCCGGGCAGAAACUAGUCUGGU